GACGAACGCUGGCGGCGUGCUUAACACAUGAAAGUCGAACGGAAAGGCCCUGCUUUUGUGGGGUGCUCGAGUGGCGAACGGGUGAGUAACACGUGAGUAACCUGCCCUUGACUUUGGGAUAACUUCAGGAAACUGGGGCUAAUACCGGAUAGGAGCUCCUGCUGCAUGGUGGGGGUUGGAAAGUUUCGGCGGUUGGGGAUGGACUCGCGGCUUAUCAGCUUGUUGGUGGGGUAGUGGCUUACCAAGGCUUUGACGGGUAGCCGGCCUGAGAGGGUGACCGGCCACAUGGGGACUGAGGUACGGCCCAGUCUCCUACGGGAGGCAGCAGUGGGGAAUAUUGCACAAUGGGCGGAAGCCUGAUGCAGCAACGCCGCGUGCGGGAUGACGGCCUUCGGGUUGUAAACCGCUUUCGCCUGUGACGAAGCGUUAGUGACGGUAAUGGGUAAAGAAGCACCGGCUAACUACGUG
Molecule: ribosomal RNA, 468 nt
Filed under: uncultured bacterium
Lineage: Bacteria
Description: partial 16S ribosomal RNA
Rfam family: Bacterial small subunit ribosomal RNA
Source: RNAcentral